GUCCACGCUGUAAACGAUGACAACUAGAUGUUGCUAGGGGAACCUAGCAGUAUCGAAGCUAACGCGAUAAGUUGUCCGCCUGGGAAGUACGGCCGCAAGGUUGAAACUCAAAGGAAUUGACGGGGGCCCGCACAAGCGGUGGAGCAUGUGGUUUAAUUCGAUGCAACGCGAAGAACCUUACCUACCCUUGACAUCCUAGGAAUCUUGGUGAGAGCCGAGAGUGCCGAAAGGAACCUAGAGACAGGUGCUGCAUGGCUGUCGU
This 262-nucleotide ribosomal RNA is filed under the name uncultured bacterium. RNAcentral describes it as "partial 16S ribosomal RNA". It matches the Rfam family "Bacterial small subunit ribosomal RNA", at positions 793 to 1055 of the family's 1533-position model. The record is from RNAcentral.